GUGCCAGCAGCCGCGGUUACACAGACAAGAAAACUUAUAAAUGCAUCGGUAAAAAGGACAGUUAUAAAUACUUCAAAGUUAAAUCAUUCCAUGAAGAGGUAGAAUUCAUACAUGGUUUAUCUUAUCACUAACUUUAUGCUUAGAAGCUGUGAAAUUGCUAUUUAAAACCAGGAUUAGACACCCUGCUAUUAGCAACGUAAAUUUUUUACACCACCGGGGAAUUAUAAGGUUUUCCUUGAAACCCAAAGAGCUUGGCGGUAUCUCAAACCCUAUUAGGGGAACCUGUUCCAUAAUCGAUAAUCCGCGUAGGACCUUACUCUUCUUUAUUUAGUUUGUAUACCGUCGUCGUCAGACAACUUUUAAGAAAUCAAUAGUUCUCUAUAAUAAAUUAUUUAUAGACGUCAGAUCAAGGUGCAGCCAACAGAAGAGAGAGAAAUGGGUUACAAUUUCAAAUUUGGAAGAUGGAACUAAAGCUGAAAUCAUUUUAGUGAAGGCGGACUUAAAAGUAAUUUUAAUAAGAAUAAAAAAAUGAAUAUGGCUCUGAGAUGUGCACACAUCGCCCGUCGCUCUCGCUGAAAAGUGAGAUAAGUCGUAACAUAGUAAAAGUAAUGGAAAUUGCUCUUAGUUGAA
Molecule: ribosomal RNA, 630 nt
Filed under: Theodoxus fluviatilis
Lineage: Eukaryota; Metazoa; Mollusca; Gastropoda; Cycloneritida; Neritidae
Description: partial 12S ribosomal RNA
Rfam family: Eukaryotic small subunit ribosomal RNA
Source: RNAcentral